This 253-nucleotide ribosomal RNA is filed under the name uncultured bacterium. Its description in RNAcentral is "partial 16S ribosomal RNA". It matches the Rfam family "Bacterial small subunit ribosomal RNA", at positions 524 to 776 of the family's 1533-position model. The record is from RNAcentral.
UACGAAGGGGGCUAGCGUUGCUCGGAAUCACUGGGCGUAAAGCGCACGUAGGCGGAUCUUUAAGUCGGGGGUGAAAUCCUGGAGCUCAACUCCAGAACUGCCUUCGAUACUGAGGGUCUCGAGUCCGGGAGAGGUGAGUGGAACUCCGAGUGUAGAGGUGAAAUUCGUAGAUAUUCGGAAGAACACCAGUGGCGAAGGCGGCUCACUGGCCCGGUACUGACGCUGAGGUGCGAAAGCGUGGGGAGCAAACAGG